UUGACCUCAGAUCAGGUAGGAAUACCCGCUGAACUUAAGCAUAUCAAUAAGCGGAGGAAAAGAAACCAACAGGGAUUGCCCUAGUAACGGCGAGUGAAGCGGCAACAGCUCAAAUUUGAAAUCUGGCGCAAGCCCGAGUUGUAAUUUGUAGAGGAUGUUUCUGGCGACGUGCCUUCCGAGUUCCCUGGAACGGGACGCCAUAGAGGGUGAGAGCCCCGUACGGUUGGAUGCCUAGCCUCUGUGAAACUCCUUCGACGAGUCGAGUAGUUUGGGAAUGCUGCUCUAAAUGGGAGGUAUACGUCUUCUAAAGCUAAAUACCGGCCAGAGACCGAUAGCGCACAAGUAGAGUGAUCGAAAGAUGAAAAGCACUUUGAAAAGAGGGUUAAAAAGUACGUGAAAUUGUUGAAAGGGAAGCGUUCAUGACCAGACUUGGGCAGGUUGAUCAUCCGUGGUUCUCCGCGGUGCACUCUGCCUGCCCAGGCCAGCAUCAGUUCGCCCUGGGGGAUAAAGGCUUCGGGAAUGUGGCUCCUCCGGGAGUGUUAUAGCCCGCUGCGUAAUACCCUGGGGC
This 568-nucleotide ribosomal RNA is filed under the name Clonostachys sp. LMA-2013. RNAcentral describes it as "eukaryotic LSU rRNA". It matches the Rfam family "Eukaryotic large subunit ribosomal RNA", at positions 1 to 582 of the family's 3401-position model. The record is from RNAcentral. Lineage: Eukaryota; Fungi; Ascomycota; Sordariomycetes; Hypocreales; Bionectriaceae.